Molecule: ribosomal RNA, 576 nt
Filed under: Salmonella enterica
Lineage: Bacteria; Pseudomonadati; Pseudomonadota; Gammaproteobacteria; Enterobacterales; Enterobacteriaceae
Description: partial 23S ribosomal RNA
Rfam family: Bacterial large subunit ribosomal RNA
Source: RNAcentral
UGGGCGUUAAGUUGCAGGGUAUAGACCCGAAACCCGGUGAUCUAGCCAUGGGCAGGUUGAAGGUUGGGUAACACUAACUGGAGGACCGAACCGACUAAUGUUGAAAAAUUAGCGGAUGACCUGUGGCUGGGGGUGAAAGGCCAAUCAAACCGGGAGAUAGCUGGUUCUCCCCGAAAGCUAUUUAGGUAGCGCCUCGUGAACUCAUCUCCGGGGGUAGAGCACUGUUUCGGCUAGGGGGCCAUCCCGGCUUACCAACCCGAUGCAAACUGCGAAUACCGGAGAAUGUUAUCACGGGAGACACACGGCGGGUGCUAACGUCCGUCGUGAAGAGGGAAACAACCCAGACCGCCAGCUAAGGUCCCAAAGUCAUGGUUAAGUGGGAAACGAUGUGGGAAGGCCCAGACAGCCAGGAUGUUGGCUUAGAAGCAGCCAUCAUUUAAAGAAAGCGUAAUAGCUCACUGGUCGAGUCGGCCUGCGCGGAAGAUGUAACGGGGCUAAACCAUGCACCGAAGCUGCGGCAGCGACACUUUAGUGUUGUUGGGUAGGGGAGCGUUCUGUAAGCCGUUGAAGGUGUCC